Molecule: long non-coding RNA, 9563 nt
Organism: Ostrea edulis (European flat oyster)
Lineage: Eukaryota; Metazoa; Mollusca; Bivalvia; Ostreida; Ostreidae
Exons: 2
Source: RefSeq, a predicted model, not a curated record
UAUCAAGUAUUGUGAAAAUGACAAAAUAGGUUCAUAACAUUGAUCCUUAUACUAUCUAUAAACACAAAGGAAAAAAAGUGUGGUGUAUAUAUACUGUGUGUGUGUGUGUGUGUGUGUGUGUGUGUGUGUGUGUGUGUGUGUGUGUGUGUGUGUGUUUGUAAGCCCUGUCAAUUGAACCAGUGAAUAAGAAGGCACACGUGUAAAUCAACACGGGGUCGGUCAAAGGAACACGAAAAUGGUGGUGUUCAGUUGGAUUUUUAUAAAAAUCAGCAUAAAAUCAUUAAAUAGUUCAUCUACCAUCAAAAUCCUGAAGUGUUUACUUAACAGGAUUUAUGAGAUGUGUGUAACAGGUGUGUAAAGAUUUAGCACUCGUCCAUCUUUUUUCCUUGCGAGCAUGGCUUACACACUUUCGAAGUGCGCAUGCUCUGUUUUGAAUGACGUAAUUUGUGAUGUCAUCAUAAUGGAGUUUUCCAGGGAAAGAAGUUGGCCCAUCUGAGGUAAGUAAACACGGUUGAAAGAAAAUUUUUGCAUAUUAACAAUGAGUUUUUUAUUAGAUAGACUGAUUAAAUGGUGUUUCAUACCGAUCGUGUUAAUUAUGUACAAGCGACAGAGUACCCGAGUUACUGAAAAUUCCGAUGAUGAAAGUGAUAUAUCUAGUACGUGAACUGUUUGGGUUUUUUUCUAAAAUUUAAUCUUUGCAGUUAAUGUACUCUGUAUACUAAAAAUUCAUAUUGAUUUUGGAUAGAAUUUCACAUUUAAAAACAAAUAGAUAUGCGCCAAGUCCUUAGGAAUCAACCCCACCCCCACCCCUCCACACGGGACUUUUUUUUGGAUUAUUGGACCGUAUCCCCCUUUUCAUCUGUCUCCCUACUUUGAAGUUUUUUUCCCAACGCCAUGACAUAAAUAGAUAAAUAAAUAAAAUGCAAAAAUAAAAACGAAAGAUAUAUAUGUAUUCGGAUUGGCAUGUUCCACUUUGUCCGGUUUGAAAUCCCCGAGGAUGCAAAUGUACAUUACGCCGCACUGCUUGCAGUACGUACAUGGUACAGGUGUACCGCAUAGGUAUGUAUCUACUAAGACUAUAAACCAAACAGAAUAUCAUAUGUAAAACUAUUACUCUGAAUGCAUUUUACUUGUUUACAAUGUAGCCUGUCGGGGUGUGGUGCAUGUCACACGCGUUGUUUACACGUGCACUUUAGGUGGCAGUGGAGGAAAUUCGAACCAUGUAUGGAUUAUUGUCUCCUGAUAACUUUGGCAGUUAACUUUUGAUUUCAAUCUACUUUUUAAGAAUAAUAUAACCCUCGCUAAUCAUUGCCAACCUGCAUUUCGAUCUUGGCAGAAUGAUCUUCAGCUACAAUUCAAAAUUAAGGGGUGAUGUUGUGUACUGAGUUUUUCUUGAUUGUUUACAUCUGUGACUGUUUAUGUGAUGUAUCAACUGAUCAAGCUGUACAGUGUCAUGACAUAUAGUGGCAUAGCUUCCAUUUAUGUACUUGCGCAUCAUUUUGUCAAAAGAAGAAAAUUCUAAAAUGAUAAUUAAGAUUUUUAACAUGUAUAUGAAUAUACAUGUAUGUGUAUGUUUGAUUUUAGUAUAAUACCUGUAGAGAAUAUUUCAGUAGUAUGAAGUGCCACACAUUUAGACGCAUGCAUGUGGUGUUUAAAGGUCUCAUCUGAAAGACCAGCAACUUUCUCUUUUGAAUGCUAAAUAUGAUGAUGGAGCAUUCACCUCACUACCUACAUUUUCACCCUAAAUAAAGUACAAGCAUGGCUCGAAACCAUGAUUUCUUGAUCCUGUUACCAGUCUUCACGAAAAACUUUGUAAAGUACAGGCCCUUCGGGCCUGCCAGUAUAAUAAUUGUGCAAGCCCGAACAAUAUUUUGCAGGCCCAAAAUGUUUAUUUUCUAAUUUGAUCUCUUGUUAUUUGCUGAUUCUACUCUAUAGACACAUGCACAGUUCUUUUACUGUAGGAAAAUACAGGUCAAGAUGAUCAUAGUUAAAGAACAACUGACAUUAAAAGGAUUAUAUUAUUUUUCAACAUAUUAAUCCAGUAUAUGCGAAAGUUUUUGGACCACACAGGACAUUCGGUCCAGUGUAAUCAAUGAACACAUCGGACCGAACCAAAUUUUGUCAGACCGAAAAACCUAAUGUAAAAAAGUGAAACACGUGAAAAUGCAAAACCAAGUGAAUCUUAUUUAUUAUACUAGUAAUACUAUUCCAGGAAUCCUUCCCGUAUAAUACUUUAGACAGUCCAUGCGGUUUUAAUCAAUUCAUUUACGUAUUUGGAUGUGUGCUAUUUUUUUUUACUUAUAACAAACUCCGCAUCAAGAUAGUAAAGCUCAAAACCGGACAUUGAGACAUCUGACAUUCCGGUCCGGUGUAAAAAAUGAUGCAUCGGACCUGAGGCACUGCAUAUCGGUCAGGUCCGACGGUCCGAUGUCUUUCGCAUAGACUGAUUAAUCUCGCAGAUACAUCAGCAGCUCAUGUUCAACUCUGUUUUGUAUACACCACGUACAAAACAUUUUUUAAAUGUUAGCCAAGGCCUACCCUCGCAGUGUUCGAAAUUGGUUUAAAACUUGGUAUAGACCACAGGUCUAUGCCAAAAUAAGAUGACUUAGACCUCAUCGAAUUGGCAUAGACCACAACAUUGAAAAAAUAAUAACACAAAUUUAAAACAUUUUCAUUUACUUCUAAUAUACUUAGAAAGUGUAUUUUCUUUCCAUUUCUGUAAUAUCAUCCUUUCCUCAUAAUGUUUAUCAGACGUCGACUGACCAUGCAAGGCCCUCUUGGAUAACUUUAUUGCUUUAAAUCUAGAAAAUUGGCAUAGACAAUUUGGUCUAUCUCAAUUACAGUUGGCAUAGACCAGUGCCAUUUGACAUAUACUCAGUCUAUGGUUAAUUUUGAACACUGCCCUCGGUCCAAUGGGGCAUGAAUUUUCGUUUUUUUCUCCUCGUACGACAGUUUUUUGGGGGUUUUUUUAUCGGAUGGUUGUGAUUGUGAAAUACGCUUGGGUGGUUUUGAAUUUCCCGGACGAGCCCCCUCCCUAUACUUCAGAAAAGGCAGCAUGGUUGAUAAUUUUUCUAUGCGAAAUUUGACUACUAAGUCAUGACAUUUAGUCUGAGUCAAUAUCACGCUUUAUUUGUAAUAUAUACAGAACAUAUAAGAAAACAUUUACAGGCCCAUCGGACUCCAGGGUUUAAUAUUUUAAGAAGCCCGAUCCCGAUUUUACUGGCCUCGGGCAUCAGGCCAUUGGUUAAUGUCGAAGACUGUGUUACCACUGAGCUACCAUGACCAAUUUUUAUACGCCCGUCUUAAGACGGGACGUAUUAUGGUAUGGCGUGUCUGUCCGUCCGUCUGUUAGCUUUUUCGUGUCCGACCCGUAACUUAAAUACUACAAGGCCUAGAAUCAUCAAACUUUGUCUGUAGAUACAUCUUGGGUAGAAGGUGUGUCGCACAUUAAAACCAGGUCACUGUGACUUUUCAUUAAGAAGAUAUGGCCAUAUAUGGCAAAAACUUGUCCGUCUGUUAGCUUUUUCGUGUCCGACUCGUAACUUAAAUACCACAAGGCCUAGAAUCAUCAAACUUUGUCUGUAGAUACAUCUUGGGUAGAAGGUGUGUCGCACAUUAAAACCAGGUCACUGUGACUUUUCAUUAAGAAGAUAUGGCCAUAUAUGGCAAAAACUUGUCCGGCUCAUAACUUGAAAACUAUUAGACCUAGAAUCACCAAAAUUGGUCAACUAAUGCAUCUUAGGUAGAAGGUGUGUCACAUGCUACUUUAAGGUCACUGUGACAUUUAAUUAAGGUGAUAUAAAAAAAAAAUGUUUUAAUGGGUACUAUCUAUACUGUUAACAAUAUGUGACAGGCGUAUCAUGUGCCAUGGCGGUGCACUUUAUUUAACAUGAAUUCAUAGCUAAAAAAAAAUUAUUACUAAUUUUUUGGUUAAUUCCAUAGAUAUAUUAUUCCGCUCUCUAGACACAAUUCUGGGUUACCCCCCUGUCAUUGGGGGUAUAAGCACCUCAUUUCUUUCAGAAUGGCACAAUGUCAGGAGAGCUUUUGUUAUUUGUUAUACUCUUAAUGUUGAUGGCAUGCAUCUAUGAACAACAGGAUAAUUUUUUAGAUUAUUAUUUCUGAUAUCAUAUUUGUAAAUUGUUUAUGAGGGGUUGUUAAAAGUUUGUGGACAAAAGGACGCACUUAUUAAAAAUUCAGAGUUAUCGUAAGUGAAAAAUAUAGGAGAUGUGUAACAAGAUUGUAUAUUUGAAGAUUUUAAUUUUAAUUAAUUUUUAUAAGUAUUGAUUUCAGAUACAUGUAUGACAUUGCAUGCUUGGUGGGGUGGGGGGUGGGGGGGGGGCUAGAGUUAGAUAAUAUUCUGGUCAGCACAUUCGAUAAACUACAUGGAAUUCAUUAAAUCACUUCUUUUUCUUUCAGUGGUCUUCAACUUUUAAUCUCCAAGAAGGAAAUGUAAUUAAAAGAUGAAUAAAGUAUCCCUAAGAAUACCAGAAGAAAGGCUAUGUGUUGAGAAAAACAGCCCUUCCUCAGUACCUCAGAACUAGAUGAUAGCCCUUAAUUGUUACUUUAUGCUGAAUAUGACACAGUAUAGAAGAUCUGAUCAUGAAGAAGUAACACCAUUGAUACACUUGCCAACUGCCAAAAUUACUUUCUGAUAGUAUGACGAGAUUAGAAGAUAUGGUGUAGUCAUGACACAAACUGCAAAUCAAAGAAUUAAUUGUCUUCCCCAGAGGAUGAACAGAGCACGAUGGCUUCACAUGGAUAACAUUUCCUUUCGAGUUUUGAAAUUAAUUUGUCAGAAUGUUAUGCAUCGUUAUCAACAGAAAAGAACUUCAUAGGUAGACCAAAGCUGACAUGGGAUGAGAUCCUAGAACAAGACCUAGAGUUUACAGGAUUGGAUAGGAUCAAUCCACUGGGUCGCCAAGUGUGGAAGUACAAACUUCAACCUCGACAGGACAGCCAGGCCUCACCCUUGCAAAAAGAUUAAUUUGGCCUGGAUAGUCAAAAUGAGUGAUGAUGAUUGAUAUCAAGGUCUGACACUGGAAGCUCAGUAAGGGUAGAUGCUGGCAAUGGAGCUGUUUAGCAAUAAAACAAACAAGUUUAACAUUAAACAUGUUUGUAUACUUUUUUGGCUCACCUGAGCCAAAGGCUCAAGUGAGCUUUUCUGAUCACCUUUGCCUGUCGUCUGUCUGUUUAUAAACUUUUCACAUUUUCAUUUUCUUCUCCAGAGUGAACCACUGGGCCAGUUUCAAUCAAACUUGAUAUGCAUCAUCAAUAGAUAAAGGGUAUUCAAGUUUGUUCAUAUAAAGGGUCAUGCACCCUUCAAAAAGGAAAUAAUCAUGGAAAUGCAAAAAUAGGGUGGGGUCAUUUAAAAAACCUUUUCAAGAACCACUGGACCAGGAAAGUUGAAUUCACACGAAAGGUUCCUGUUUUGUGCAAAUCAUGGUCUCUGGGGUUAGGGUGGGGUCACAAUAGAGAAUCAAAGUUUUACAUUCAUAUAUAGUGCAUAUUCAAGUUUGUAAAAAGCUCACAGGGGUAGGGUGGGGGUCACAAUAGGGGAUUUAAGUUUUACAUGUGAAAUAUAUACAAGGAAAAUCUUUUAAAAUCUUCUCCUCAAAAACUAGAUGCAGAACCGUAGCUCUUUGAAAAGAGAGCUUCAGAUGAACCCCUUAUAAAAAAAAACUUCAAUUUAUGGCAGAGAAAAAAAGUGCAUGUUUAAGUCCCUCUAUCACUGCAUUCCUGCAUCGCUGUCUCAUGAAUUUAAUAUUAAAUAAUUCCCAACAUAUUUUCCCACUAUACUUGUUUCCAAACAUACUUUCAAAUAUUUUCUAAACCCACAUAUAACCCCAAAACAGCUUCAAGUGAUUUCAAUUUCUUUGUUGAUGUAGCCAUGUUAAGUAGCCAGUCAAUUUGAACCCCAGUUCAUUUCCAUACUCAUACUCAUUUUGAAACAUAAUGUCUGUGUGAACUAAUAUCCUCACAAAUAUUUUUAGUGAAAUAUUUUGGAUGAAAUCAUCCCAGUUGGGUUAAAUACUUAUUAUUCAAAUACUGUAGGUUUGAAUAUUGAACUAAUCUCACAGCUUUCUUAAGUUUGGUCCCCAUCCCCACCAGUCUGUUUUUACGCUUAACUAUUGAAAUGGGGUGUAAGGGAUCAGACUAGGCUUUUAUAGCAUUAUCAAUUUUCAAAAGCUUUAGAAAAAUUAUACAAUUUUAGGUCACUUGAGUAAACUCAGAUGACAUAUUGCUAUUGAUCUGCAUCUGUUGUAGUCCGUCGACAUUAACAAUUGAACAUUUUUAACUAAAUUCUAUAACUGAAAGAUGAAGAUACCGCACAGCGAUCAAUCUACGAUUCAAAUAACGGAAUUCUUUUCAAAUUUAGUAUGAAGCACACAAAUUUACAUUAAACCUUCUUGACAUAGUGCAUAUUCAAGUUUGUUAAAAUCAUUUCCCCAGGAGUUAUGGUGUGGUAACAAUAGGGGGUCAAAGUUUUAUAUGCUAGCUGAUAUAAAGGAAAAUUCUUUAAAGAUAUCUCUUGAACUAUUUAAGCUAGGGCUUUCAUAUCUUGUAUAUACAAUUUUUAUGGCAAAACAAAUCUGACCUAUUCAGUAUGUCCUGAACUACAUUGUGUUUAAGGUAGAUCUUUCAUAUAUAUUAUAUAUUAUGAAUUUCUUAUGAUAAAACCUUUCAUCUUGUUGAGGAGCCUCUCACCUCUGGUUGGUGCGGGUUUGAAUCCUGCUCGCACCGGUAAUUGAGAAAGUUUCCCAGUUUACUCUCGGAAGGUCGGUGGUCUCUUCCCAGGUACAUUGUAUCUGGGUUCUCUCUUCCACCAAUAAAAACUGGGCACCACCAGAUAACUGAAAAAAUUGUUGAGUGCGGCGGAAAACAGUUAAAACAAUCAAUCAUAUUAUGUUAUUUGACCUUGUGACCCUGAACUCUGAGUUUGACAUACUUUUAAGAAAGUAUAACGUAUUAAGUAUAUCCAGGACUAUUUUAGAUAGGGCUUUUAUGUUUUGUAUAUUGAUUACUUAUGGCAAGGUCUUUCAUAUCAUACCAAGACCUACGACUUUUUACCUUGGUCUUAUCCAGAACAGCAAUAUCAUGCUAGUCAUAUCUUUGUCUUAUAUGAUUUCAUUUUAGUAAUGUUGUGUUCUUUAGAGCUAGGUUUGGGUCACAUUAUUCAUGAGAAUAAAGAUUGAUAAAAUAGCAUUUAAAAAUCAAAACAGCAGGGCCAAGAUGACUCAGGUGAGCGAUGUGGCCCAUGGGCCUCUUGUUGAUUUUGAUAUUUCUACCUAUAUCAUUUGUAUGAGAAAUGGAACUCCUUUUUUUCUUUUACAAAUACAUGUAUUAUCAUAUAUUGGAUCCAUCUUUGUUGAUUAUUUAAUCAAAGGACAUAUUCAAUGUAUUAAAUGUAAAUUUAUGGAUAUGUCUGUGGUUGAAUUACUUAUGUAUGUAUGUAUACAUUUUUCUCGCACAUGCAAUUACAUAUAUGAUGUAUAUAUAUUUACUAAUUGUACAUGUAAUAUCCCCUGUUAUAUAAUAAAAUAUAUGACUGAGAAUAGAAGACCUGCUGUUUUCAUUGCUACCAUGAAACAUUAAAAGAUUAGAAUAAUUCAAAUAUCUUAAUGAAUUCUAUGAUAUAUGAAUUUGAUAUUUGUAUAUGAUUGCCUCACUGGUGUUCAAUGUGAACUUUGGUUUAUUGUUUCAGUUUGCUCGAUCUUUAUAUCAAAUCAAAAUUUAAGACAAAUAAGGAAUUAUUUCCGAAAUUGGUUAAUAUGGUACAUUGUAGUAAAAUAAUCAAGAGUUUAUUCAUAUGAGAUAGCUAAAUUUCACAUGAAUAACCAGUGACUGAUUCUUGAUUGUCAACAUUUUCACCGAACAGUUCAGAAAUUACCAUGGUACAUGUACAUACUAUUAGGGGAUCAUAAAAUUCCUUAAAGAGUGACAAAUUUUUAAAUAUCACCUUUUCAAGGAGAAAAAUCCUCUUAGGUAUAUGAAUACUAUGAAGAGAUUAAAAGAGAGGUGGCUAGAUCACUUGUAUGGUGAGAUUCAUUUGUGGCAAGAACUGGUAUGAUGUCUUGAGUCAGAAAGCACUGGAAUCCACUAGGAAUAGUUUUAGAUCUAUGGAGCGCCAAAAUAACAAACUCAGAUAUUUGAAGAUAUCUUUAAUUAUUUGAAGAUAUUAUUAAUUCAUUUCAUGCACGCAACAUUGCAAUCAAAGAUCUCUUCAAAUAAUUAAUGCUAUCUUCAUUUGAAUUGAAUUAUUGAUAUCAUUAUUUAUUCCGCUGAAUUGAUGCACACAAUAAUUUAAUUGUUGCUCUCCUCAAAUGAAUUAUAAUUUAAUGAUACCAACAAUAGAAUUAAUGCAUGCUACAAUUCAAUUGAAGAGAGCAAUAAUUCAUUAAUGCUAACAUCACUUAAUGUGCGCAAUAAAUGGAUUAUUGCUCUCUUCUAUUGAAUUAAUGAUAUCAUUAAUUAAAUUGAUGCGUGCAAUAAUUAUGUUAGUGAAAGUAAUUCUAAUUGAGAUAUAAUCCUUAAUUAAUUCGACAUAUCCACAACUGAAUGAAUGAUUUCUUUAAUUGAAUUGUUGCUCUCUUUUUAAAAACAAAACAACGAUGUGCGCAUUAAUUACUUAUGAAAUAGCCCUGUAUAUAUAAUUAAAAAGAUCUAUUGAAUUAAAAGAGAUAAUCAAGUCAUUCAUACAGAGCUCUAAAUUAAUUUUUGCAAGCAAUAUUUCCACCACAUGGAUAUUAUUGGACUUCAAUUAUUUGAGCUUAUGUAAAACAUUAAGAUUUUAAAAAUCAUCCUGGUGAAUUUGUAUUACAAAAGUCAUGAGAGGACACGUCCAGUUUUUGAACAAAAACAGAAAGUAAUAUAUUCCCUUGAAUUUGGUCAUCCCUGUCCUCAGUGUGUUUCAGACGUGUUUAGUGGGAGGGGGGGGGGGGGGUCCAACACGUUUAGCGGAUAUUUAGUUGUUGGCAUGUGGCGGGAGCGAAACCAGGAAUUAUCCAAGGGAAGGACGUAAUGAGUGCCUAAAGCACGAAAUCUCUAAACAAAAAUAUCUAAGAUGAAGGAAAAUCGUGAUUUUUGGGGGUUUUCUAUUACAAUUUUGUCCUCAUAUUUCAAAGUGAGAUGAUAGUCAAAAUUGACAUAAUUUCCAUGUACAUAUCAUAAACAUGUAGAUAUUUUUGUAACAGUAUAUGAAGGAAUCUGGAGCAAAUCCUGAUUCUGAAGUUAUAUAAACUGGUGUUAUACACCGGAUUUUCAAACAAUUUAUGGUUUUUGCAACGUUUGAUUAAAGUUUUCUGUAAGGCCACAUCUAUGUAGUUACAUUUACACAGAAUGCUCAUGAAAAUGUUACCUUUUGGAGUGGAUCGAAUUAAGAUAUCGCGUAACAUUUUUUUUUUACAAAGAUAUCUAAUUUUUAUCUAUAUCAAAAGUCAACAAAAAACUUAAAAGUAAUACAAAAAAUGUAUAUAAUUAUUAAUACUUGUUUUAGAUCUUUUAGGCACUGCAUUAUACAGAAUUUUGAUUUUAUUUAUCAUACUUUUUGGUUGAAUUACUACCGA